RNAcentral lists this ribosomal RNA (383 nucleotides) under uncultured bacterium. RNAcentral's name for it is "bacterial SSU rRNA". It matches the Rfam family "Bacterial small subunit ribosomal RNA", at positions 30 to 407 of the family's 1533-position model. The record is from RNAcentral.
AGUGAACGCUGGCGGCAGGCCUAACACAUGCAAGUCGAACGGCAGCACGGCAGUAGCAAUACUGUGGGUGGCGAGUGGCGGACGGGUGAGGAAUACAUCGGGAUCUACCCUGUUGUGGGGGAUAACGUAGGGAAACUUACGCUAAUACCGCAUAAGAACUGAGGUUGAAAGCGGCGGACCGCAAGGCGUCGCGCGAUUGGAUGAACCGAUGUCCGAUUAGCUAGUUGGCGGGGUAAAGGCCCACCAAGGCGACGAUCGGUAGCUGGUCUGAGAGGACGACCAGCCACACUGGAACUGAGACACGGUCCAGACUCCUACGGGAGGCAGCAGUGGGGAAUAUUGGACAAUGGGCGCAAGCCUGAUCCAGCCAUGCCGCGUGGGUG